ACUCAAAUGAAUUGACGGGGACCCGCACAAGCAGCGGAGCGUGUGGUUUAAUUCGAUGCGACGCGAAGAACCUUACCUGGGCUUGACAUGCAUUUGCAACCUGGGGAAACCUAGGCCUCCGCAAGGACAGAUGCACAGAUGCUGCAUGGCUGUCGUCAGCUCGUGUCGUGAGAUGUUGGGUUAAGUCCCGCAACGAGCGCAACCCUUGUCUCUAGUUGCAUUUCUAGAGAGACUGCCGGAAACAAACCGGAGGAAGGUGGGGAUGACGUCAAGUCAGCAUGGCUCUUACGUCCAGGGCUACACACACGCUACAAUGGACCGUACAGCGAGAAGCCAUUCCGCGAGGAAGAGCAGACCUCUGAAAGCGGUCCCCAGUUCAGAUUGCAGUCUGCAACCCGACUGCAUGAAGGCGGAGUUGCUAGUAACCGCGUGACAGCACAGCGCGGUGAAUAUGUUCCCGGGUCUUGCACACACCGCCCGU
RNAcentral lists this ribosomal RNA (481 nucleotides) under uncultured bacterium. RNAcentral's name for it is "partial 16S ribosomal RNA". It matches the Rfam family "Bacterial small subunit ribosomal RNA", at positions 899 to 1397 of the family's 1533-position model. The record is from RNAcentral.